GGGGCUGAUUCUGGAUUCGACGGGAUUUGCGAAACCCAAGGUGCAUGCCGAGGGGCGGUUGGCCUCGUAAAAAGCCGCAAAAAAUAGUCGCAAACGACGAAAACUACGCUUUAGCAGCUUAAUAACCUGCUUAGAGCCCUCUCUCCCUAGCCUCCGCUCUUAGGACGGGGAUUAAGAGAGGUCAAACCCAAAAGAGAUCGCGUGGAAGCCCUGCCUGGGGUUGAAGCGUUAAAACUUAAUCAGGCUAGUUUGUUAGUGGCGUGUCCGUCCGCAGCUGGCAAGCGAAUGUAAAGACUGACUAAGCAUGUAGUACCGAGGAUGUAGGAAUUUCGGACGCGGGUUCAACUCCCGCCAGCUCCACCA
RNAcentral lists this transfer-messenger RNA (363 nucleotides) under Escherichia coli. It matches the Rfam family "transfer-messenger RNA". Rfam says of the family: Bacterial tmRNA, also known as 10Sa RNA or SsrA, is named for its dual tRNA and mRNA-like properties. Its role is to liberate the mRNA from a stalled ribosome. Lineage: Bacteria; Pseudomonadati; Pseudomonadota; Gammaproteobacteria; Enterobacterales; Enterobacteriaceae. The record is from RNAcentral.